This 492-nucleotide ribosomal RNA is filed under the name uncultured bacterium. RNAcentral describes it as "partial 16S ribosomal RNA". It matches the Rfam family "Bacterial small subunit ribosomal RNA", at positions 29 to 507 of the family's 1533-position model. The record is from RNAcentral.
AGUGAACGCUGGCGGUAGGCCUAAUACAUGCAAGUCGAACGGCAGCACAGUAAGAGCUUGCUCUUACGGGUGGCGAGUGGCGGACGGGUGAGGAAUACAUCGGAAUCUACUUUUUCGUGGGGGAUAACGUAGGGAAACUUACGCUAAUACCGCAUACGACCUACGGGUGAAAGCAGGGGAUCUUCGGACCUUGCGCGUUUGAAUGAGCCGAUGUCGGAUUAGCUAGUUGGCGGGGUAAAGGCCCACCAAGGCGACGAUCCGUAGCUGGUCUGAGAGGAUGAUCAGCCACACUGGAACUGAGACACGGUCCAGACUCCUACGGGAGGCAGCAGUGGGGAAUAUUGGACAAUGGGCGCAAGCCUGAUCCAGCCAUACCGCGUGGGUGAAGAAGGCCUUCGGGUUGUAAAGCCCUUUUGUUGGGAAAGAAAAGCAGCAGGUUAAUACCCCGCUGUUCUGACGGUACCCAAAGAAUAAGCACCGGCUAACUUCGUG